AACGAACGCUGGCGGCAGGCCUAACACAUGCAAGUCGAGCGCCCUUUCGGGGGAGCGGCGGGCGGGUGAGUAACGCGUGGGAAUAUGCCCUUCUCUACGGAAUAGCCUCGGGAAACUGAGAGUAAUACCGUAUACGCCCUGUGGGGGAAAGGUUUAUCGGGGAAGGAUUAGCCCGCGUUGGAUUAGGUAGUUGGUAGGGUAAUGGCCUACCAAGCCGACGAUCCAUAGCUGGUUUGAGAGGAUGAUCAGCCACACUGGGACUGAGACACGGCCCAGACUCCGACGGGAGGCAGCAGUGGGGAAUCUUAGGCGAUGGGGGCAACCCUGAUCUAGCCAUGCCGCGUGAGUGAUGAAGGCCUUAGGGUUGUAAAGCUCUUUCAGCUGGGAAGAUAAUGACGGUACCAGCAGAAGAAGCCCCGGCUAACUCCGUG
This 431-nucleotide ribosomal RNA is filed under the name uncultured bacterium. RNAcentral's name for it is "partial 16S ribosomal RNA". It matches the Rfam family "Bacterial small subunit ribosomal RNA", at positions 29 to 507 of the family's 1533-position model. The record is from RNAcentral.